This 468-nucleotide ribosomal RNA is filed under the name uncultured bacterium. RNAcentral describes it as "partial 16S ribosomal RNA". It matches the Rfam family "Bacterial small subunit ribosomal RNA", at positions 28 to 507 of the family's 1533-position model. The record is from RNAcentral.
GACGAACGCUGGCGGCGUGCUUAACACAUGCCAGUCGAACGGAAAGGCCCUGCUUUUGUGGGGUGCUCGAGUGGCGAACGGGUGAGUAACACGUGAGUAACCUGCCCUUGACUUUGGGAUAACUUCAGGAAACUGGGGCUAAUACCGGAUAGGAGCUCCUGCUGCAUGGUGGGGGUUGGAAAGUUUCGGCGGUUGGGGAUGGACUCGCGGCUUAUCAGCUUGUUGGUGGGGUAGUGGCUUACCAAGGCUUUGACGGGUAGCCCGCCUGAGAGGGUGACCGGCCACAUUGGGACUGAGAUACGGCCCAGACUCCUACGGGAGGCAGCAGUGGGGAAUAUUGCACAGUGGGCGGAAGCCUGAUGCAGCAACGCCGCGUGCGGGAUGACGGCCUUCGGGUUGUAAACCGCUUUCGCCUGUGACGAAGCGUGAGUGACGGUAAUGGGUAAAGAAGCACCGGCUAACUACGUG